Molecule: long non-coding RNA, 380 nt
Organism: Cheilinus undulatus (humphead wrasse)
Lineage: Eukaryota; Metazoa; Chordata; Actinopteri; Labriformes; Labridae
Exons: 5
Source: RefSeq, a predicted model, not a curated record
CGCGCUGUAAAAAGUAACAACAUUGCUAACAGCAGCCACUGAAAUGGAUGCACAUAUAUAAAGAUAUAUUGUGGUGGAUGAGAGGCAUCAAAUCUUGUAUGGAGGCCCAGAGUCCCUGACAACGUCCUUGAUCUCAGCCUGCAGAACAUGAGCCAGUGUUCACAGAAGAUUUUGGUGUUUGCACCGAUGGUGACUGUAAGCAAACGCUAAGCCCAGAGAGACUGACCUCCCUCAAAGUGACGCCUGAGAGAGAACAAGAGGAGGAGGACUACUGGGAAAUAUCUACCUGCACUUACCAGGACUCACAGCAAAGCUUGGGGAUCUUACCAUGGCUGAUUUGAACAGAGGAGAAGGAUUGAUCUGCAGCAGCAGCAGACAAG